UUGCUUCAGCAGCACAUAUACGAAAAUUGGAACGAUACAGAGAAGAUUAGCACGGCCCCUGACACACAAAUUUAUGAAGCAUUCCAUCUUUUU
Molecule: small nuclear RNA, 93 nt
Filed under: Phascolarctos cinereus (koala)
Lineage: Eukaryota; Metazoa; Chordata; Mammalia; Diprotodontia; Phascolarctidae
Source: RNAcentral